CGCGCUAUGAUUGGCCUCUUGGUUGGAGGGAAACUCUUCUGGGUCCUUGACGGUAUAACGUUGACCGGUACUCGGUAAUUUCGGGAUUGGUCAAGUAUGGUACAAACAGUGCUCCCCUAAGUUUCCGAGUGAGGGAAGCUCCUCGGUUGGGGACUUGCAAGAUCCAAGCCACUUAGUAAUCAUGAAACUUCUAAGUACCAAAGUGUGACAUCAUUUUCACUUGCCUCUGCCCCAUAGGUAGAAGUGACAUCUUUUCUGGAGGUAUUUGACCUGCAUCUAGGAGUGGUAUCUUUAGCCGAUGUUAACGCACAAUGUUAUGUAUCAUUUUCACUUGAAGCUUACUUGUAGUUUCGAGCUUGGUCAAGUGUUAUACAAACCAUAUAGUAGGAGUUCCUUAAGUCGUCCAGCUAGGAGAUCUGCCGAAAGAGGUGACAGACAAGGUAAGCAAUCAGAGUUCCAAGCAGUCAGCCUCAUAUUGGAAGUUUUGAUCUCGGGUUCCAGGUGAUUGUUCUCAUUAUCCCUAUCUUGCAGGCAACAAAAAGGAUAAAGAGAAGAAAAGGGAGAAGAUAUGAUAUGAGAUAUUUUUGCUUUUGAAGAAAUAAAGGAUGAAUCGGGUUGUACUUGUUGACUUUCCACAUGCUUAUUCUUGAAUUGGAUUGAAGGGUUUCCUGGUUUCCUCCAAAGGAACAAGCUGACUCGAGAAUUUGAGAGUCAAAACAAGUUUUUCAAAUCUGGGGUACGUUCGACCCUGAUGAUAUGGGAUACCUUUACUUUUGAAGAAGUAAUAGGUGAGUUGGCACGUGUUUAGUUGCGCUUGUCUCCACAUGCUUCCUUGUAUCCUUUUCAUUUGCCCUAUCUGUUUCUUAAGCAGAUGUGGUAUCUUCUCUGCAAGCACAAGAUGUUAAAGAUGAGUACUCGAGAGAAAUGCUAGGUAAGUAAUUAGGCAAGGGGUUCCAGGCAGUCAGUUCCUGACUGGAAGCUUGAUUCCAAGUGUUGACUUUUAAAGUUUGGAAAGUAGUGCCUCUUCGAUUUUCGAACAAGAAGAUAUGUUGAAGAUCUGGCUCUCGAGAUUCGGAGAGCGUUGCCUCUUCGAUUUUUGAACAAGCAAAUAUAUUGAAGGUGUGUUCUUGGAUAUGAGGAAAAAUUAGGCAUUCUUGUGAGUAUGCUUUGCCACAAAAGAUGGAGGUCGACACAUCUAAGGAUUUGCCAAUUAGCCAGUAGUGAUGUUGUUCCUUUACCUCUUAUGGGUAAUAGUUAAGGUAGUUGGGGCUACAAAAUUCCCGCGCCUUAGCUUGGUCAGGGAUCUUUGAGAAAGCUACCCGUGGUACCUGAAAAGUUGAUGUUGCGUGUGGGUAGUGUUGACAAAUUUUAUCCAGGAAGAUUUGGCUCUCGAGAUUCAGAGAGCGAUGUUUCUUCGGUUUUUGAACAAGUAGCCCUGUUGCCUUUUCUUUUACAGGGGUGAAGCAUUUAGGUUGAAAUAAUGCUCCCUUGAUUUCCCCAGUAAGGAAAACUUCUCAGUUGGAAACUUGAAAGAUCCAAGUCACCGUGGUGUAGUAGUAUAUGGUAGGAGUCCCCCAAGUCUUUGGUAGAGGGAGUUGACGAAUAAGGUGUCUUGUUAGUAGUCAAGUUUGCAAAGUAACAAAACUUCACCAUUUUCCUUUGUAAAUGGUAGCCCAAAACUUCUCCUUCAUAUAUAUUUGUUAUGAAAGUUGUUAGGCCCAAAAAAUGGGAGGCUAGGCCUUUUCUUUUUUUUUUGAAUUUUUGAAUUUUUGAAAUUUCGAAUUUUCAAAUUUUCAAAAAUAUUUCUCUUUUUUAUUUUUUAUUUUUUGGGUACCAUAAAUUGAUUUUGCUUUACACUAUCUUGAUCAAGAGUGUGUGAAGCUUUUGACAUUUGUAGUUGCCCUCCAUUUGUUGAAGCUUUGUGGUGAAGUUUUGUAGGUGAAGCUUUAAGGUUGAAGCAUUGUUGGGUGCCAUCACUCUAUCUUGAUCAAGAGUGUGUGAAGCUUUUGGCAUUUGUAGUUGCCCUCCAUUUGUUGAAGCUUUUGUUGGUGAAUCUUUGUAGGUGAAGCUUUUGUGUUGAAGAUUUUGUAGGUGAAGCUUUGAGGUUAAAGCUUUGUUGGGUACUAUGAAUUGAUUUUGCUCACUAUCUUGAUCAAGAGUGUGUGAAGCUUUUGGCAUUUGUAGUUGCCCUUCAUUUGUUGAAGCUUUUGUUGGUAAAGCUUUGUGGUGAAGCUUUUGUGUUGAAACUUUGUAUGUGAAACUUUGAUGUUGAAGCUUUGUUGGUUACCAUGAAUUGAUUUUGCUUCACACUAUCUUGAUCAAGAGUGUGUGAAGUUUUUGGCAUUUGUAGUUGCCCUCCAUUUGUUGAAGUUUUUUUUGGCACCAUAAAUUGAUUUUGCUUCACACUAUCUUGAUCAAGAGUGUGUGAAGUUUUUGAGAAUUAUAGUUGCCCUCAAUUUGUUGAAGUUAUUGAAUUUCUCAAUUUUCCUUUUUUUUUAAUUUUUUUUUAUUUUGGGGAAACUGGAAAUUUGAAAAUAUGAGAGAGACAAUAUAUACAAAUUUUGCUUCCACACUGUUUUGCAAGAGAUUGUGAUGCAAGCCACAUCUUGUAAUAGUCGAAGGUUUGGAUGAACAAUAUAAAUUGAAUUUGCUUCGAACAGUCUUGAUCAAGAGUGUGUGAAGCUUUCUACUAGUUGUAGUAUUUGCAUUAUUACAGAGGAUAAAUGUCUGAAGCAGAUGUAAGAGGGCUGAAGAGCUUAAUCUUCGUAUACCAUGCACUGAAGCCAUUGUUGGCUUGCAAUAAGACUUUGUUGGUGACUAUAACUCUUGUUGGGCAUAAAUGCUCCUCUAGUUGAGUUGUAAAGCUUGAGGGUUUUUUAUUAUUUGUGAAUACUAAGAGUUCACAUGUACAAGUUGUACCGCUCGUCUUUUAGUUGGUGGAAUGAAUGGUGAGUUGCUUUCAUCACUUGGUUGGUGGUACGAAGGUGAGUUCCUUCAUCACCUUUCAUCACAUUUCAUCACUUGGUUGGUGGCACGAAGAUGAGUUCCUUCUUCACCUAGUUGGUGAUAAGAGUGGCAAGUUGUCAAAUAAUAUUAUAGUACGGGUUGUACAUUUCAUCACCUGGUUGGUGGCACGAAGAUGAGUUCCUUCUUCACCUGGUUGGUGAUAAGAGUGGCAAGUUGCCAAAUAAUAUUAAAGUACGGAUUGUACAUUUCAUCACUUGGUUGGUGGCAUGAAGGAGAGUACGAGUUGUACAUUUCAUCACCUGGUUGGUGGCAUGAAGAUGAGUUCCUUCUUCACCUGGUUGGUGAUAAGAGUGGCAAGUUGCCAAAUAAUAUUAGAGUACGGGUUGUACAUUUCAUCACCUGGUUUGUGGCACGAAGGUAAGUUCCUUCUUCACCUGGUUGGUGAUAAGAGUGUCAAGUUACCAAAUAAUGUUAGAGUACUGGGUUGUAUAUUUCAUCACUUAGUUAGUGGCACGAAGGUAAGUUCAUUCUUCACCUGGUUGGUGAUAAGAGUGGCAAGUUGCCAAAUAAUAUUAGAGUACGGGUUGUACAUUUCAUCACCUGGUUGGUGGCAUGAAGGUGAGUUCCUUCAUCACCUAGUUGGUGAGAAUAAGGGCAGGGUACCGAGGCACAUUGUAGCAAGUGUCGAAUGACACAAAGUAUGUUGAACCCUUUCGAAACACAGUUGGCUUAUGUAUGAAUGUGUUGGAAUGUAUGAUGUUUAUGUUGAUUGAUAUAAGUUAUGAUUAUGAAUGUUUUGCUAUGCAUGAAGGAAUCCAUGCUUUCGAUAUGUGAACCAUGUUGGUUGUAACACUUAGUAUCAUUUACUUUGUGUCAAAGUACGCAUGUUUGAACUCUGAGUUGGAAUAUAGAGGUAGGUCAGCGUAGACCAAGUGUUCCAAUGCUAGGAAUGCAAAAGACUCAGAAGAAGUUGUCUGAGUUAUCUUUUCUUUAAAUAUUUGCCGAAUGGCUUGUGUGACAAAAGAUCUCAAGCGGUUAGGGUCAAAAGAUUUGUAAUGUGUAUGUCUUCUUAUAAUAGCAUUUCCUUCAGUACCUAGUCCUCCACUUUGAAAGAGUGAGGCUUGACCCUAUAGUCAUAAUAGUUAAGGGUACGUUCACCCCUGGUUGUCUUGAUACGAACUUUUAUCCCUCUUGUUGUAAUGAGCUUGCUGAGAGUAAAAAUCAUUCCCUUACCAAGAGACGAAUACAUUUGGUGACUUAGCGAGUAGCUAAAUGAGGCAGGAUAGGAUGCAAUGGGUGUCUGAAUGGCCAAGAUCUCCUCACUUGGUAGAAACGAUUAGCAAAAUGAGGCAGGAAAAGAUGCAAUGGGUGUCUGAAUAGCCACGAUCUCCUCACUUGGUAGAACUUGACUUCCACUUCCCACUUGUUGAUAGGGGUUAACCAUAUGAGGGUUCUUUUGGUAUGUCCUUACCUCGACAAAUGCAUGAUUGUAAGCUUGCAUCAUUACCUCAAAGUAAGUCUUUCAAGUGUUAGCAUUCAUCAUGCACUUGAAGAAGCAUUCAUGCAUGCUUACCGUGAAGGCCUUAAGUGUUGUUUUAUCAUCUGCCUCAACACAACGAGAGUACUCAUUGCAUAAACGACCGGCAUAUUCACGCAAUGACUCAUUUGAUUUCUGAUGAAUAGUGUAUAGCUUAUCAGCGGAGUGUACGUGAUCAGCUUGGAAGAUGUGUUGAGCCACGAAAAGUUUCUUUAGCUCAGUGAAGGAAUCCACAGUAUUAGAUCGAAGACGACAAUACCAAUUGAGAGCUCUACUAGAGAGAGUUGAGGGGAAUAUGAGACAUCGUUCCUCAUCAUUGUGUCUUCGGUAUGCCAUGGUAGAUUCAAAGAAGUAUAUAUGCUCAAUCAGAUCUUCCCUCCCAGUAUAAGAUUGCAAGCCAAGCUUCUGUUUCGUUUCUCCUUGUAGAGGGGUGCCAAGAAUUCUCUUUGUCAAAGGGCCGGGCCUUGGUUGAUCCCAGCCAGGGAUUUAGGAAUAACGCUCGGCCUUUAGCCUGUUCACCUCUUCGAGGAGAUGCAGAAUAAGAGGGUCAUAAGUGGAGUCAGGCAUCAUUCAAACUCUCAUUUGCAAGUUUUCCUCAUCCUUUGGAAGUAUGGAAGUUUGGUUAAAGGCAUGUGGCUUUUUCUUAGAUUUACUGUACUGGCUUUCGAGACGUGCCGUUUGGAAGUCCCCCGAGUCUCCUUCACCUUCUUGUCCCUCCAAGGCAUGUGGUUCUUUUCUUGGAUUAGGCAUUGGCCUACAUUGUGGUAGAUGACCGAGCCCUUUAAUGACUAUUGGGUCUUUGACCCUUGAGCCUAUGUGGAUAGAAUUUUCUCGAUGAUGUCUUAAGAAGUCUCGACAGUCACGGUAAACGGCUUUUGAUCUUUCCAUUCCUUUUGCAAGAAUGUUCCUUCCUCCACUUCUCAUACUUCGAGUUGAAACAGCUGGGUUGAGAGAUGUUGAUCGACAUUUCGAUGAGUAGCUCGCUCUUCGUCAGGAAUACCCAUGUCGAAGGCAGGUGACCUUCCGUGUUGGGGGGCACCCAGUUGAUGGUUGACUUCCACGGGGGUGAUGAGGUCGUGUGUUUGAGUAUGCCUAGCCUCAUAGAGCAUCUCGAAGAGCUUCUCAUACUGCUAUUAAAGGACCUUGUUCUUCACUGCUAUCUUGUUGUUCUGAGCCUCCAGCUCAUCAACUUUAGCCUGAAGAACAAACUUCUUUGGUUCAUUCUUUCGUUGCUUUGCACUAGGUGCGAGGGGGUGUCGUUAUGCGUGUUGUGGCUUCUUUCGCUCCCCAUGUUGGAGAGGGAUGCCCGAUCAAAAAAAGAGUGUACGAAUGGUGGAAACCAGCUUGACAAAGCUGAAGAGAGUAGGAAUAAAUGCGUUUCCCACAGACGGUGCCAAAUGUUGAUGCACAAAAUCAGUGAGGACUUUAGUACAACAAAAAGUGUCAAGUUUGUGACCUUCACUAGAUUGCUCCGGUCACUAGUGUGGAUAAAUAUGUAAAUGGAUAGAGACAGGGAAGCAAACAUAAGAUGUACGUGAUUCACCAAGAUUGGCUACGUCCACGGAGUAGAGGAAUUCUCAUUAAUUGUGAAGGGUUUACACAAAUACAUAGGUUCAAGCUCUCCUUUAGUGAGUUCUAGUAAAUAAUCUAGUACAAAUGGCCUGGAGAAUGAUCUCCUUUUAUAGAAGAUAGUUUCUAGCUUUGUUCUGACAUUGACACGUGUCGUGUUGUGAUUGGCCUUUGAUGUUGACAUAUGUCGCGCUGUGAUUAUCUUCUGACAUCGACACGUGUCGCGCUGUGAUUGACCUCCUUGUUAAGGGAAACUCUUCUGGGUCCUUGACAGGUAUAACAUUGAUCGGUGCUCGGUAGUUUCGGGAUUGGUCAAGUAUGGUACAAACAAUAUUUUUCCUUGAACUCGCUGCAUUUCCGAAGUCAAACUCUUCCCACUUUUCAUAGUUUAAAUGAAUUUAAUGUAUAUUAUUCUAUCGUUGUCAAAUAUAUAUCUGCACGUCACAAUGUGUCAUCUUGGUGUCUAUAGUUUAAUUCUUAAACUUUUGGUAUAUUGUAGUAUCAUAUAUAAUGAAAAAAUAUUUUUCAUAUUUACCAAAACUAAUGCAUAAACCUAAACAAAGGUUAAAUGCAUCAGGUUAGGAAAAAAAUAAUAUUAAAAUAUUUUAACUUAAGCUAAAAUAGCUAGUAUUGUUGGAAGUAGUGGCUA
Molecule: long non-coding RNA, 6722 nt
Filed under: Malus domestica (apple)
Lineage: Eukaryota; Viridiplantae; Streptophyta; Magnoliopsida; Rosales; Rosaceae
Description: long non-coding RNA (MDOM_LNC010051)
Source: RNAcentral